This 497-nucleotide ribosomal RNA is filed under the name uncultured bacterium. RNAcentral's name for it is "partial 16S ribosomal RNA". It matches the Rfam family "Bacterial small subunit ribosomal RNA", at positions 28 to 507 of the family's 1533-position model. The record is from RNAcentral.
GAUGAACGCUGGCGGCGUGCCUAAUACAUGCAAGUCGAGCGAACAGACGAGGAGCUUGCUCCUCUGACGUUAGCGGCGGACGGGUGAGUAACACGUGGAUAACCUACCUAUAAGACUGGGAUAACUUCGGGAAACCGGAGCUAAUACCGGAUAAUAUAUUGAACCGCAUGGUUCAAUAGUGAAAGACGGUUUUGCUGUCACUUAUAGAUGGAUCCGCGCCGCAUUAGCUAGUUGGUAAGGUAACGGCUUACCAAGGCAACGAUGCGUAGCCGACCUGAGAGGAUGAUCGGCCACACUGGAACUGAGACACGGUCCAGACUCCUACGGGAGGCAGCAGUAGGGAAUCUUCCGCAAUGGGCGAAAGCCUGACGGAGCAACGCCGCGUGAGUGAUGAAGGUCUUCGGAUCGUAAAACUCUGUUAUUAGUGAAGAACAAAUGUGUAAGUAACUAUGCACGUCUUGACGGUACCUAAUCAGAAAGCCACGGCUAACUACGUG